UGAGCAAUCUGCCCUUCUCAUCGGAAUAAGCGUUGGAAACGACGUCUAAUGCCGAAUACGACCUCCUUUCGCAUGAUCGGAGGUGGAAAGCUCCGGCGGAGAAGGAUGAGCUCGCGGCCUAUCAGCUUGUUGGUGAGGUAACGGCUCACCAAGGCUUCGACGGGUAGCCGGCCUGAGAGGGCGACCGGCCACACUGGGACUGAGACACGGCCCAGACCUCCGUACGGGAGGNAGCG
Molecule: ribosomal RNA, 236 nt
Filed under: uncultured bacterium
Lineage: Bacteria
Description: partial 16S ribosomal RNA
Rfam family: Bacterial small subunit ribosomal RNA
Source: RNAcentral